This 468-nucleotide ribosomal RNA is filed under the name uncultured bacterium. RNAcentral describes it as "partial 16S ribosomal RNA". It matches the Rfam family "Bacterial small subunit ribosomal RNA", at positions 28 to 507 of the family's 1533-position model. The record is from RNAcentral.
GACGAACGCUGGCGGCGUGCUUAACACAUGCAAGUCGAACGGAAAGGCCCUGCUUUUGUGGGGUGCUCGAGUGGCGAACGGGUGAGUAACACGUGAGUAACCUGCCCUUGACUUUGGGAUAACUUCAGGAAACUGGGGCUAAUACCGGAUAGGAGCUCCUGCUGCAUGGUGGGGGUUGGAAAGUUUCGGCGGUUGGGGAUGGACUCGCGGCUUAUCAGCUUGUUGGUGGGGCAGUGGCUUACCAAGGCUUUGACGGGUAGCCGGCCUGAGAGGGUGACCGGCGACAAUGGGACUGAGAGACGGCCCAGACUGCUACGGGAGGCAGCAGGGGGGAGUAUUGCACAAUGGGCGGAAGCGUGAUGCAGAAGCGCCGCGUGCGGGAUGACGGCCUUCGGGUUGUGAACCGCUGUCGCCUGUGACGAAGCGUGAGUGACGGUAAUGGGUAAAGAAGCACCGGCUAACUACGUG